This 4143-nucleotide long non-coding RNA is filed under the name Gossypium barbadense (sea-island cotton). Its description in RNAcentral is "long non-coding RNA (GBAR_LNC001224)". Lineage: Eukaryota; Viridiplantae; Streptophyta; Magnoliopsida; Malvales; Malvaceae. The record is from RNAcentral.
UGGGAUAUCUGUAGCGUCAUCGUCUGUAUUAGGAUUUCCAGGUGAGGGAAUGGCAGUCGUCAAACAAGGUCUUCUAGCAGGAAGGAUACCUGGCUUGUCUGAGCCCGAUGAACAAGGUUAGUACAACAGUUUCAAUACAUCAUGCAUAUGGUAUCAUUACAUUCCCCAGUCACAGCAUCAAAAUUUGUGAAGGAAUUAAAAGGAGAAUUACUGUUUCUUGCAACUACUUCCUAUAUUUGUGAGGAUGAUGAGAAAAAAAUCAUUUUAAUAUCAUUUCUUCAAUCUCUGUGGGUUCCUCUAUAAAUCAAUCUAUUUGAGAUUUCUCAGUUCCUCGAUGAAUGAGCUUAAAAAUAGGCUUUCUUGAAGAACCCCUAUACUGCUUGGUGGGAAAUCUACGAAAUAUUGUAUAUCAUAGGUUGACAGAUUCCCUUAACAAAUCUGGAGGGUUUUGUCUCAUAAUUCUAUCGAGAGUGUUCCAUAUUUGAUUUAGUGGUAUUUGAACUUAUGUACUUGUACAAUAUUGUUAGGUAAGUGAGCUCACCUUAUCUCAAGGAGGGCAUUUUAUGUUUUAUCCUUCACCUGAGAUAAUAGUUAGACCUCAUCACCCAGAAAUUUCGUAGGACACUCUCUUCACUAGGUGCAUGUUCGACCUCUCCUUAAGACAUUUGGCAUAAAACUUGAAACACUUGGUCUGACAAAAUCCUAAUAGAAUCAUUUUCAACUCAGGUAGGCUUCAAAUAUGGACAAUUUGAUCCAAUUCAAGGAAUUUUGUACAUGUUGUAGCGUCACUCUACCUACACAGGGCGAAUUUAGAGGGGGCACGUAGGGCCUUGUCCUCCCCUAAAUUAGAAAAAUUGCUAUGCAAACCACUUCAGAAAUAUUUGAGUUAUAAAUUAAUAUAUGAUCAAAUUUCACUUUGAUCCCAAAAAUAAAAAAUAUAGUAAGUCUCUUUAGAAAAUAAUGAAAUCAUAAAUUAAUAUAUAAUAAAAUUAUAUUUUUACCUCUCAAAAAUUUAUAAUUUAAUUUUAUCCCUUCUAAAAAAUUUCUAAAAUUACCCUUUUACCUACAUCUGAUGAUAUGGACUAUUAGCAUAUCUAAGCCUUAAUCGUAGUUCAACAUGUGACAUCUUGUAAUAAGAGAAGCUUGCAUAUAUAAACUAAGGGCCCGAUGAGAGAGGCAAACAAACUCUAUACCAAGCACUUUCCUGUAAAUACUCAACAACCUCCGAUCUCAAAAUCAGUGCCUCCAUCUGUCCUACUGACUCUUUGCACCUCCGGUUGAACCGUCUUGAAUCACCAUAAAUUCCUUCACGUAUCAACACCAUAUAUUUGACAUAUUUCCAGAGAUGGGAGUCGGAUAUGAUUCUAACCACACACCCAUUUCAAGCACAUGCUAUGUACUUAAGUAACAUAGCCAAAUAGAAACUAAUAAAAGAUGAGGCAUCGUAAAUUUGUGAGAAAGAUAAGCAGACUUUGCUUACACUGAACCAAAAAAAAAAAAAAACAGUGAAUAGAUAGAUGUUAAAGACCUAGGCUAGUAGGGAGAUAGAAGCAGGGCAUAUUCUGUAUUUGUGGUUAUAGUGAAACAUCAUCUUCACCAGCAAACAAUGUGCUCAGACAGGUUGGAGGACUUAUCGAAGACCAGAUGACAAGUCAGGAGGGCAUGGUGUUGGAUGGAGUCCUAUCAUCCCUUAUUCCUUUUCAGUGCCUCAAGAUUUUGAGGAGGUACUCAAUUCAAUUCCAUUAACACAUUCCUCCAUUUCAAUCUCUUGACUCUGAGACUUACUUCCAUUUUAUAUAUCCCUGCAACAGGUUCCUGUAUCUAUAGCAGAUUUAGGCGGUACAGAGAUUGACUUGAGGUUUGCUAGCUCGAAAGAAGGACGAUUGUUUGUCAUUGUUGCACCUGUUCUUAGAUUUGCUGACAGUAAGAUUUCCCAAAUACUUAAAGAGUGCUCCUCUCUUUUCACUUCCAUGCCUACUUAAAAACAUAUGAAACUUGUCUGUCUUGUUAUUGUAUAUAGAUCUUGGUGACGAUGCCACGAUUCAGAAGAUCGGACCUCCGGAGAAGGUGAUCAGUGCAUUUGGACCAGAAGUGAUCGGUGAAAACGUAGAAGGCAAGGUUCUAAGCAUGAACACAGUGGAGCAUGAUGGCAGAAUGUAUUACCAAUAUGAAUUGGAGCCACCCCAUGUACUGAUUACCGCAACUGCAGCUGGUAAUCGCCUUUACCUAUUCAGUGUAACCGGAAGUGGUAUGUACUUGUAUCUUACCCCUCAGUACUGUUUUUUUUCCAAAUCUGUAAUCUUUGAAAGCUUGUUCAACAUGCAUUACCUAUAUUGCUUCAAGUUUUAAUUAUUUUUGCUAUUUUCAACAGGUCUUCAAUGGAAAAGGCAUUACCAGGAUUUAAAGAGGAUAUCCGAGUCUUUUCGUGUAGUCUAGUUUUGGAUCUCCCUGGAUUAUGACAUGAGUAGAUUAGUAGUGAUGGAUAUUUUUACUCUGUAAUUUAAAGUUGCAACAAAAACAAAGAGUGUAUUUGCAGCACAGGUAUAAAAUGUGCAACUUUCUUCAAAGUAAGAUUUUUGCAGAAAAGCUAUACAGCUUGCUAGAAGCCACUUAUCUGAACUUGGGAUAAGUGUCAGAUCUGUGUAUAUCUCCAUUGCGGAUGUACUCUAUAUAUUUAAAAGAUCAUAGUCUCAUUUUUCAUAUCAAGUGUGUUGAACUUGAAUGCCUUUGGACUCAACUAAUAAUUUGGUUACUAUUGUUGAAAAAAUUGAAUGAAUCGAUUCGAUCGUGUCCUUAAGGAUAAUUUCUCCUUAGGGGUGAUAUGAAUCACACAUAGGAUCUCAUGGUGUAGUGGUGAAGGGUGUGCUUGAGUCAUUUGAAUUGGAUAUUUCAUCAUUUAUUGCAAGUUUUCUCUCUUUCUGUAAUGUGCUAGGUUAAGAAGCAUGUAUAACCUAGGAUGAAAGAUAAAUGUUAACUACAAAAAAAAAAAAAAAAAAAAUGGAGGCCUUUGAUUAUUGUUGCAAUUUCAGUGAGAGAAUUCUAAUUGAGCCACAACCAACCUAUGCAUGACAUUGCCCAUUGAAAGCUAAUUUUACCCUCAAAUAUCUCCAAAUCAACCACACUGAGAGAGACUUGAUUUUCUAUAUCUUUUCAUGUAUAGUAAGGUUUUUAAAGUUGUGGUAUCCUAAUAACCAUAUCCAAACAUUUGGAAAAAAAAAAAUGAAGGUUGGGAUUAACAUAGCACCGGCCAUUGGUUUGAGAAAGAAAAUACAAGUGGAGUUGUUGAAAUGUAGACAAAAUUACAUUCUAUCCUGAUUUGCUUACUUGUAAUGUAAGAUUGCAACUCUUUCGUAGGGAAAGACCAUGAGAAAAAGCAAAAGGCAAUUGCAUGUUGAUUAAUUCAAUCACAACCUAGUGUCACGGGUGGUAGAUCAUUUGAUUCAUUUGAAUUGACUCAAUUUGUGGAUUAAAUAGAAUUUAAGUCCCUUGAGACUUUCAAUUGUUGAUAAACUCUAAUAUUGACUAUUAAUGUAAUUCAAUUUAUACAGUUAAAUUUGUAGAAGCUCAACUAUAACUAGAAUUAUCAGGUAAAUGCAUUAUUUUCUUAUGGCUGUCCAAUUCUCUCAUUGCUCUUUUCUUUCAACUUCACUUCCACUAUAUUUUUCGUUGUCAUAGGAAAUUUUCAGGAUUUUUGUCCUUUUUUGAAUGUUAAUCUAAUUUAAACAGAUUUAAAAUAAAGAAAUUAUCUAACUCGCGCGAUUUGUCAAAUUAAAAUUCUAACUUGUAACAAUUUUAUUGGAUUUUUUUUUAUCUACAAAUAUAUGUAAUCUGGAUAUAUGAAAAAGGAAAAUGAGAAUGGGAGGGGAGGGGAGGGGAGGGGAUAAUUCCAAAUAUAAAAGGCAUAAAUUCCAUUAAUCAAGAUAAACCUGUUUUUGGUAAAGGGCAGCCAACAUUUGGAAUGGUUUUGGGGUUGUAAAGAUACGACACGUGAACAUGACAUGCGUCUGUUCUAACCUGCAAAUUAUAUAAAAUAAAUAAAACUUUGGGUGGUAAUGGAUGAAAUUGGAAAUAAUUGAGAGAUGACAAAACUCAAAAAAGAGUUGGUUUAUGGAGGGAGAGGUUCUCCAUCCUCUCUCUUUUCAC